This 682-nucleotide long non-coding RNA is filed under the name Gallus gallus (chicken). RNAcentral's name for it is "lncRNA (ENSGALG00010015077.1)". Lineage: Eukaryota; Metazoa; Chordata; Aves; Galliformes; Phasianidae. The record is from RNAcentral.
CCAAAUUCAGGAUCUCGCUCUCAACUUUCUAUCUGCAAGUCUGAGCUUGCUCAGCUGGAGAGGCUACCAGAAGCUCCAAGGUAAAAUCAGUAACUUUGCUCCUUGGGCAGAAGUAGACCCUUGACCCAGAACUUAACCCUAAAGCAAUUAAGCACUCACUGGUCAUCAUCUUGGACUGGGCAAAGACACCAAGUUGCAAUGACUACAAGUCAUCAGAGGGCUCAUCUUGGCCACCAAGCUUUCUCCAGAACAAAGCCACAGCAGCAUCCAGGGCUGUGUACCGUCCUUGCAAAGUUCUUCAGCUCUUCAGGUGAACAACAGAAGAAGAGGAGACUUGCUGAGUCAGUCUCUGCUUCCCUAUGGCUGCUGCUUAUCUCACAGUCACCUUUGUCUUUGAAAGCCUUCUUGACCCAGGAGGAAAUUUAAUGAAUCAGCAGCGAAUGCCUGCUGGCUGAGAGCAGAAGGUUUAUGAUGGAGUAGACUUGUAAUCGAGACCUAAGUGUUAGAAUGACUAAGAGUGAAUGGCUGAUGGGACACACGCUCUCCUUGAAAGCUUCUGCGUGCUGGAGGCAGGACCACCAGUCAUACAGCAUAUGGUGAACAGUAUUGCUGAAACAAACCUACUUUUCUCUUCAUAAAAGAUAUACAAUAGUGAAAGGAUAUUUUUACAACUGUUUGCGUG